RNAcentral lists this long non-coding RNA (1019 nucleotides) under Macaca mulatta (Rhesus monkey). RNAcentral describes it as "lncRNA (ENSMMUG00000057452.1)". The record is from RNAcentral. Lineage: Eukaryota; Metazoa; Chordata; Mammalia; Primates; Cercopithecidae.
CUCACUCUCUCUCCUGCCUGCUGCCCUCCCUGGCUUUUUGCAGGAUAUCAGGGGUGGGUUCCAGAACAUGCUCCUGUGCUUGGACCCCUGUUCAGGUACAUAAUCCUGGCCAGGGAGGCCCCAGUGUGAGAGGGACCAGGGGACCGUGACAGAGGCCCAUCCCCCCGGGGACUGGGAGCCUCACGGGAUAGGACCUUUGCUCCUCAGAGGUCCGGGUCAGAGUCCCUGUGGGUUCACGAAGUGAAACUUCUGUUCGCUGAGCCUCCUAGCAAGGCAGUGUCAGGGCUUUCUGUGACAUGCAAGGGCUCAGGCUUUGUGAGGGGAGUGAGGAUGCCUGGCUAAGAUGAGGACGCUGGGCUCACAGACAUCAGGGGAGGUGCCUGCGGCCUCUUGGAGGAGCCAAGAACACAAAACCCCCAGGUACAAGGUGAGACACCUCAUCUCCACCACCUAAUCGUCAAGUCAACCCUGCGUCUCCCCUCCCUUCACUCAGAGACUGAGGAGGAAGCUGACACAUCCGCCUUGUCCGUAGGGAAGAAAAGGCAACAAAGCUCUCAACCUACAGUUUUUACUAAGUAAUACUGAUGCUAGAGUGAUGGAGACUAAGCUUCACCCAACAAACCCUGGGGCAGCACAGAAUGGGAGGAUGGAACACGAGGCAUUUCUGGCAACAGUGGGGCAGAGAGCUGAGAAGAGCCUGGCCUGGGACCCGUCUUCACUCCUGUCUUCGUCUGCUUGGGCUGCCACAAGAAGGGAGAUGACCCAAAGCCUGGAGGAAGCCGAACACAAAAAGGCCUAGGCAGCUCUGGAGGGCGCCAUGAAGUUGGAAAAGGCUGACAACCACAAGCAAACUGCCCAGAGACCCUGUGCUCCCUCCUUCCCACCACACACAGCACAGAAACAUCUUGUGAAAGUGAAGGUCAGCUCGAAGUAAACAGGUUAGUAAUGGUUAUUGCCAGUGCUUUAUUAAUUAGGUGUCCUGAAUACAUGUAAACCUGGGUGUUUAAUUUAGAUUUAUA